RNAcentral lists this ribosomal RNA (506 nucleotides) under uncultured bacterium. RNAcentral's name for it is "bacterial SSU rRNA". It matches the Rfam family "Bacterial small subunit ribosomal RNA", at positions 9 to 514 of the family's 1533-position model. The record is from RNAcentral.
GAGUUUGAUUGGCUCAGAUUGAACGCUGGCGGCAGGCCUAACACAUGCAAGUCGGGCGGUAGAGAGAAGCUUGCUUCUCUUGAGAGCGGCGGACGGGUGAGUAAUGCCUAGGAAUCUGCCUGGUAGUGGGGGAUAACGCUCGGGAAACGGACGCUAAUACCGCAUACGUCCUACGGGAGAAAGCAGGGGACCUUCGGGCCUUGCGCUAUCAGAUGAGCCUAGGUCGGAUUAGCUAGUUGGUGAGGUAAUGGCUCACCAAGGCGACGAUCCGUAACUGGUCUGAGAGGAUGAUCAGUCACACUGGAACUGAGACACGGUCCAGACUCCUACGGGAGGCAGCAGUGGGGAAUAUUGGACAAUGGGCGAAAGCCUGAUCCAGCCAUGCCGCGUGUGUGAAGAAGGUCUUCGGAUUGUAAAGCACUUUAAGUUGGAGGAGGGCAGUAAAUUAAUACUUUGCUGUUUUGACGUUACGACAGAAUAAGCACCGGCUAACUCUGUGCCAGCCG